GUACCUGAUCUGUUGUAUCCCCUAUGAGCGGUAUGACUGGCUGAAUAGAAUCAGUGAGUUCCUUCUGCCCUGAUGAUGACCCUGCAGGGAGGCUACAAGGCCCUACAGCACUGUGCCAUCAUGCAUUUUUCCAUUAUUCCACAUGGGAUCCAUGAUGUAAUGUGAGUGUGCUACUCCCGCCCUGGGGCUACAGUGGGACUUCUGCUGUUGGUGGAAUAAUGUGCAAUCUCCUGUUUUGUUUGUUUUACCUCACAUCGGAUGGAAUUCCCCUCUUAUCUAAAUCCAAUAAUUACUUAAACCUGGAUGUCAAAACACUUUCCAUUAUUAUCAGAGCCCCCUUUUCCCUUUUUUCCUUUGAUGCCAGUUGUUACCGUGCAGGAACAGAGUCCCUGGAUCUUUUUUAGCUCAACCGAGUUGUCAGGAUCCCAAUCCACAGGAGUUAAGUCCGUCCCAGAAGACCGAACAACUGUAUGUCUGAUCUCAGGAUGUUGUGCUGACUUGUCAGGAUUAAGACCACACAAUACUGUAUCUAACUUGCAUUUAUGAUCAGUCUUAAAAUGUGGAGGCUGUUUACAGAAAGAAGAACAAGACGCUGAGGAUGUUUUCUUACUAAAGACUAAGAGUAAAUAGAAAGCUGAAGAACCAUACAGCAUUACAAAAUAAAUCAAAAAAUCCACUUUAUACAGACAAGUUUAAAAUAAAUAGAUUGGUAUAAUUGUUGAGUACUUAUGUCACUAUAUAACUGUCAUUUUAAAUGCUAGAAAAUGUGAUAGGAAAAUUACUCACUGACUUUGGACUUGUUGUGAAUUUCUAAUCCCUGAUUCACAGAACUGAAGUAAUAGCAUUUACAAAUGGGACACUUAGACACUCUAAGGGAAGCUAAAGACUACAAUGACUCAAGCGGUUAAUGGAUUUCUACCUAAUUUGAUGGCCUGUUUAGCACUCCCAGCAUAA
Long non-coding RNA from Etheostoma cragini (Arkansas darter), 954 nucleotides. RefSeq lists it as uncharacterized. The transcript is spliced from 2 exons. The record is from RefSeq and is a predicted model, not a curated record. NCBI's taxonomy places the organism in Eukaryota, Metazoa, Chordata, Actinopteri, Perciformes, Percidae.